CUCCCUUACAGCCACAUCUCAUGGGGGUUAUUCCUCCUCAGCAGGGCUGAGCCCACACAUUGCCCAUGGUCACUCGUGGUCUUCCCCCAUGUUGGAGAAGGGGGAAGACACCAGUGGCUCCUGCUGCGGCUUGGCAAAGGUCGGGAUGAGCAUCUGAACAGGAUGCUUUUUGCCCCGUAAACCACAGGCCUUGGUCAGUUCAUGAGGGAAAAGAGAGCAGAGCAUUUUGAUGAGUGAGAAAUCCUGGUUUUCCUGGCCCAAAACACACCAUAGUUUAUGAAAUGUACACUGGGUGCAGCAGUAGGAUCAAGCCCUUCCCAUUCCUUUGGGAUGUGGCACAGAUGUGGUAUUGUCAGUGCAGGGAAAAGGGGUGGGAGAUCCAGGGAAAGGGUUCGAUGUGGUUUGUGGUGGGAAAGGCUGGGUUUACAGAGAGCCUGUCCAUGCAGGGGACCCCUCCAGCAGCAUCCCUGAGGAAGAGCCCAGCCAGGACCUGGCAAAACCAGGCCAUAGCAGGAGCUGGACCUGAACCCAGAGCUGAUGGAGCCGCUGCAGGGAAUCGGUGCUGGGUGAGCAGCAGGAGCAGGCACUUUGAUGGGAUUUAUGCCAUGCAGCACUUGUCAGCACAGCUUUAGCACCCCAUAAAGCAACGGCGAAGGCUGAACCUGAAAGGAGAACACAAGGAUGCCCUGGCUGGGCAAUUAAUGAGAGAAUUUGGGCUCAGGCCCUGCAAAGCUCCAUAAGGGAAAGGCUCAGGCGUGUGAGUGUGGGGGGUGAAGCCAUGGGGAGGUGUGGAAAAUGCAGGAGGAGGCUAGGAUGAGGGAAGGGGUGAUGCUCUGAUGCACUGUGGUAGCCCCAUGCAGGCACAGCUAACAACACCUGUGUCCAUCCGCAGGCACCCCACAGAUGGGGCACCGGGACCCCCAAAAGCAACCACCAGCAGCAAGGACAUGAGUGAAGAGCAGCGACCCAUGAGGGUCAGCAGGAGACCUGGCACAAAGCGUGGCUCUUGGUGCUGUGAGUGGAUGCUGUGGGGUCUGGGUGACUCGGAGAGGCUGCAGAAAGGCCAAGGCUCUGUUGGAAGCAUGGGCAGGAUCCAUGCAGUGCCCUUCCCAUGCCCAGGGUAAGGGUUGGCUCCCUCCUUUCCCAUAUAACCAGCCCCAAGGCUGGAGCCAGGUGUGCCCAGCGGGUCCCCUGCCCCACUGCCAAACGGGGGGCAUGGACCACAGGAUGACACCCCAGGAAGCCGGAAGGACACAGAGCUGCUGCCGCCAAGCCCAAGGCAUGGGGAGGAUGAGGUCUGCAGCCCAAGGAAAGGACGAAAAGCUCCUGUGCAUUAAAGGUGUUGCAAGCCCCCGG
Long non-coding RNA from Pezoporus flaviventris, 1356 nucleotides. RefSeq lists it as uncharacterized. The record is from RefSeq and is a predicted model, not a curated record. The transcript has 2 exons. Lineage: Eukaryota; Metazoa; Chordata; Aves; Psittaciformes; Psittacidae.